GUGGGGAAUAUUGGACAAUGGGCGAAAGCCUGAUCCAGCCACGCCGCGUGUGUGAUGAAGGCCUUCGGGUCGUAAAGCACUGUGGAGGGGGAAAAACAAGCGAAGGAAUAAUACCCUUCGCCCUGAUGGUACCCCUUUAGCAAGCACCGGCUAACUCCGUGCCAGCAGCCGCGGUAAUACGGAGGGUGCCAACGUUGCUCGGAAUCAUUGGGCGUAAAGCGUAUGUAGGCGGUUUAUUAAGUCGGGUGUGAAAUCCCUGGGCUUAACCCAGGAACUGCAUUCGAUACUGGUAGACUCGAGUACGGGAGAGGAUAGCGGAAUUCCCGGUGUAGAGGUGAAAUUCGUAGAUAUCGGGAGGAACACCUGUGGCGAAGGCGGCUAUCUGGACCGAUACUGACGCUGAGGAUACGAAAGCGUGGGGAGCAAACAGGAUUAGAAACCCGUGUAGUCC
This 451-nucleotide ribosomal RNA is filed under the name uncultured bacterium. RNAcentral's name for it is "bacterial SSU rRNA". It matches the Rfam family "Bacterial small subunit ribosomal RNA", at positions 354 to 796 of the family's 1533-position model. The record is from RNAcentral.